RNAcentral lists this long non-coding RNA (1718 nucleotides) under Camelus dromedarius (Arabian camel). RNAcentral's name for it is "lncRNA (ENSCDRG00005013013.1)". The record is from RNAcentral. Lineage: Eukaryota; Metazoa; Chordata; Mammalia; Artiodactyla; Camelidae.
AAGCCCCACAUACAAAAUGAUGGGGGACCAACCAACGGCCUGGAAACCCAGGGGGCUCCCUCGGUUAAAUUUUGUUCCACGAAAUCUUUUCUGCCCCUCCCCACCCUUGCUGACCGGGCUCUCCGGAGCCUCCCCUCGGAGAGGCUAGCGGAAGGACAGCGGGGCGGCGGCGGGGUGGAGGUGGGGGCUGACCGGGCUCGGGCUCCGCGCGCUGUAUGGGGACGAAGGGCGGGGUCGGGGCAUCCAGCCGGGCGCCGGGAGCCCACAGCCCGGCACCCGCGCGGCCAGGCCUCGGCGAUCCGCAAGAGGGCGGACUGGGCGGGCGGCGAAGCGCAAGGCCUCUGCAGGGCGGCGGGCGCCUCGCGGGCGCUGGCUUCAGGUCUUCGAGAGGAGGAAGUGCGAGUCCGGGCCGAGGGCUUCCGAGACGGAAGGGCCGGGGCUUCUGCAGAGAGGCCUCGAGCCCGGGCAGGCGAGACCCCGCAGGACCUGCUCCGCAGAGCGGGGAUCGCACCUACUUGCGGAGCUGGAGGAGCCGGCGCCGGCGCUCCGGGGACGCGCGUUCUGUGUCGAGCCCUCGCCUGGACUCGCCCGCCGGCGCUGUGCGCGGGGCACCCGGGCCCAGGCAGCUGCACUCGGACCGCGGGGCCUUCCCGGUCUGGCUCCUCGGACGGUUCCGGGCGCAGUUCGCCAACUCCAGGCCGUGGGGCGCCCGGAACAUUUGUUGAACUCUGCCACAUUCCGCGAUUUUGGCAGUGAGUUAGACUACCCAGGUCCCAGGCCCGCGCAGAGCCUUGAGUAGGAAGUCUCCUUUUCCCAAGAAAAGAAAUAAGCAGGAUCCGCCCAUACAGGUACGGCUGGGAAGACUUGGCUGUCUUCAGAUCACUCCACUUCUUGUCUUCACUUUGGCCUUGCCACUAACGUCGUGACCUUGAGCAGCUCUCACGACUUUUUGGCCCUCUGUGUGAUGUAGAAUAAGCCAGUUUUCUCCAUUUAAGACAUAUCAUUCUGUUUAAUUCAGAUAAGUAGUCUUAUUGAGUGCCUGACUUGUGCAAGAUCUCUACUAAGUGCUGUGAUAACAAUGAUGAGCAAAACAAACAGUGGGCCUGCACAGGUCACCGGGGAGGCAGACCGUGAGGACACAUAAGAAAGAUUACUGGGCGCAUGGAAGCUUGCAGCAGGAGAUUUAACCCCCGCCACACACACACACACACACACACACACACACGCCCCACAUACGAAGUCCUACACACACAUUCAUUCACCCUCAACACUUAGGAAGUCAUGGCAGAGUCCUAAUCAGCUGGCUGGAAGGUGAGGUGUUGGAAACAGAAGGAAGGGCCUUGAUAAGGGCCUUCCAGGUUAGAGUCACUGUGGAACAUUAACAAACUGCAAUAAACCUAAUACCGCUGGAGCUUGCAGGGUUUGGGAGAAAGGCUGGCGAGAGAAGCAGGGUUUGGGUCAUGAAUCUUUAUAAAUAAAACAUGAUGAUGAUGAUGUAGACUGUGGAAUUCUCACUGAGGGCAUUGGAUAUAUAUAUUGUAAUCUCCAGAGCAAACAAUGUUUUAAAAAAUCAAAAGGUAUAACUACGAAGCCAAAAGAGGCAAUCAAAUGGAAUACUAAAAAAUGCUUGAUUAAUUCUAAAGGCAGGCAGAAAGGAAAAAAAUGAACAAAGAGCAGAUGGCACAAAUAGAAAACAAGAUAAUUGACUUAAAUCCAAC